ACUUUCUGGGACAUGCAAAAACUGUUAAAAUUAACAUUUAAUUUUUUACUGUGCACGUAGUUAUCACAGAAAGCUCAUUGAGAACGGUUCGCCAUAUGGCACCGUCGUUCUUAGUUACGACUCUGGUAACAAUGAACGCCGAACGCUCCGGAAGGCCUCGCGGGAAGUCCCCCGAGGAGCGGUGAUAGCCGGGGCCGAUUGCUCGGUGAAGAACCAGCCGAUACACGCACGCGUGCCCACCACUGCGUGGUGGACGGACCACGCGGUCGUUAUUAUACGGUCACCGCGGAGGCAUCGACGUCGUGUCACACUGUUCGCCGUAAAGUAUACAACUCCAUGUCGUGUGCUGCAGGAAGGAGUAACAUUUCUCUCAAGAUGUGUACACUCGUUUCUAAAGAUACAUCCUACGUAUCUCAGUGACGAAAGAUAAGACGGCAGCAGCAAGAAGCUGUAUCAAGAAGAAGAGUGAAGAGGAGAAAACGAAGCCAACAGUUCUCAGACAGAAUCUUCCAAUCUCUUCUCGGGGAGGAAAUUAAGGUACGGGUACCAAUGACGAUCUCCUACGCUUGCGGCGACCAGCUGAAGCCGAAGAGGAAGGAUCGGAAGGGCAAGAGCGAUUCCAUGAGACGGUGCGAGCAUCUGCCUCCCGAUGGAAGUGGUGAAGGUGACGACGGUGUCAGGCGAUUUCACGGUGACGGACUCGUCGUCAGGAUGCAUUCGAAUCAUCGCGUGCUGAAGAUUACGGGCGACGGUUGCCGAAUUGCUCUGUCAAAGAAUUCCGGUAGCGUUCAUAUCAUCGGCGAUGGCUGCAGAGUGCGCGUGAACCGCAACGAGGGUAACAUCGAGUACACCGGCGACGGUGGUCGAGUCCUUCUUGGAUCGGAGUCAGUUAAAGGGAAGGUGAAAUUCGUGGGCGAUGGUGGAAAAGUGAUUCUCGACUCGAGUCGAGUCGAAACGGAAUCGAAGACUGAGAGAAAGGACUCUGGGAAUUCCUCGGGGGAACGGUCGAACGAGGAAGCCAGUUACGUGGAAAAAGAUGCGUGCUCUUGCAAGAAAGUGAUCAACGCGACGCUGGGAUGUGAGAAGCGUGCUGUUGGUAAUGGAACGUUGAAUCAGGAAGAGCUGGACAACGUGACGAAUGAUGUGAAGGAGAGGAACCAAGGGAAGUACAGGAAGCGCAACGAGGAAACACGGAAAUCCUUGCGGCAUCGGACCGUUGCGAAAAUCAUCACGAAGAUUCAAAGCGACGGUCAAUGUGUGAGGAAACGAUUCUUUGGUGAUUCUUCGUUCAUCGUUAAUUCUCGCAGCGAUGAAAAGUGUAUCUCCUUCCGCGAUGAAAAGUGUGUUGAGAACUUUGCGCAGAAACGUCAAGAUUAACGAUAGGAAAUCUAGGUGACGUUACUGGUGAAUUGAAAAAACAAGAAGAAUAGCAAAAAGUAUAUCUGUUCCUUGAAGAACAAACGAUCGAACGCAAUCAAAAUUAAUUGCACAGAAAUGGUUGAAAAGUUCUUCUCCCUUAAAUAUACAAAUUGCCUAUUUUUUCUUAUUUUUUCUAAUUAGGAAUUUAAGAAACUUCUUAUGUAGCGUGAUUAAAAUUGGUCGCACGUAAAUGACAGUUUUAAUGUAUAAAUUAACGAUUACUAGUUAUUAUAAUUUUAUCAUUAUUUUACGAAAAUAUGUACUAUGUUUCCUAUCUUGGUGUGAUAUUUUUUAUCUUAUCUUUUUUAUUUUAUAGAUAUUUCUGAGGAUAUCAUGUGUUACAAACAUUUCAUGCAACAUUAUCAUUUAAAAAUCUGUUUCCUUGUACAAUAAAUUAUUUCAAAAACUUA
This 1829-nucleotide small RNA is filed under the name Ooceraea biroi (clonal raider ant). Its description in RNAcentral is "uncharacterized LOC105287236". Lineage: Eukaryota; Metazoa; Arthropoda; Insecta; Hymenoptera; Formicidae. The record is from RNAcentral.